UGAGAAUAUACUUACGUAUAUGUUAUAUUAUAGCCUGAGGGCUAUAACAUUAUACGUUCACGUGUUCAAAACAAAACUAUACACAACUAUAGAUACUUUCAACUUCACAAUAAGUGUAUGUAUUAAAAAUAAAAAAACUGAUACUGGAAACGAGUUUGUCACUGUUGUUCUGUGAGAAGUUGGGAAGGUAGGAUACAUACAGUUAUUUUAAUUAUAUCUGACAUCUAGAAGCAACGAUAAACCAUUGUCAAUGAAAAAUUAUUCGGAGUGAAAUUCGGUUAAUUUAGACUUAUAAUUGUAAUAAUUUUAAA
Molecule: non-coding RNA, 311 nt
Organism: Cinara cedri
Lineage: Eukaryota; Metazoa; Arthropoda; Insecta; Hemiptera; Aphididae
Source: the annotation of a GenBank genome assembly